UCUAGUGGCGAACGGGUGAGUAACACGUGGGUAACCUGCCCAUCAGAGGGGGAUAACAUCCGGAAACGGAUGCUAAAACCGCAUAGGUCUUCGAACCGCAUGGUUUGAAGAGGAAAGGAGGCGCAAGCUUCUGCUGAUGGAUGGACCCGCGGUGCAUUAGCUAGUUGGUGAGGUAACGGCUCACCAAGGCCGUGAUGCAUAGCCGACCUGAGAGGGUGAUCGGCCACAUUGGGACUGAGACACGGCCCAAACUCCUACGGGAGGCAGCAGUAGGGAAUCUUCCGCAAUGGACGCAAGUCUGACGGAGCAACGCCGCGUGAGUGAAGAAGGUUUUCGGAUCGUAAAACUCUGUUGUUAGAGAAGAACAAGUGCUAGAGUAACUGUUAGCGCCUUGACGGUAUCUAACCAGAAAGCCACGGCUAACUACGUGCCAGCAGCCGCGGUAAUACGUAGGUGGCAAGCGUUGUCCGGAUUUAUUGGGCGUAAAGCGAGCGCAGGCGGUUCCUUAAGUCUGAUGUGAAAGCCCCCGGCUCAACCGGGGAGGGUCAUUGGAAACUGGGGAACUUGAGUGCAGAAGAGGAGAGUGGAAUUCCAUGUGUAGCGGUGAAAUGCGUAGAUAUAUGGAGGAACACCAGUGGCGAAGGCGACUCUCUGGUCUGCAACUGACGCUGAGGCUCGAAAGCGUGGGUAGCAAACAGGAUUAGAUACCCUGGUAGUCCACGCCGUAAACGAUGAGUGCUAAGUGUUGGAGGGUUUCCGCCCUUCAGUGCUG
Molecule: ribosomal RNA, 772 nt
Filed under: uncultured Lactobacillales bacterium
Lineage: Bacteria; Bacillati; Bacillota; Bacilli; Lactobacillales
Description: bacterial SSU rRNA
Rfam family: Bacterial small subunit ribosomal RNA
Source: RNAcentral